ACCACAAAGACUUGCUGACCAGUAAUAUAAAAUUGUGGUGUUUGUGUUUGGAAACCUAUAAGCCCAUCCAUCAGGGCGUAUAGCUCCACGUGGUUUGACCAAGCCAUACUUCCAUCCUACAUUUUCAACUUCAGGCAUGUCCUCACCACCGGUAGCCAUGCACAUGAGAGACUGGAAUUGCUGUCUACCAAGUGAAUCUCCAAUAAAAG
Molecule: unclassified non-coding RNA, 209 nt
Filed under: Hevea brasiliensis (rubber tree)
Lineage: Eukaryota; Viridiplantae; Streptophyta; Magnoliopsida; Malpighiales; Euphorbiaceae
Source: RNAcentral